GGGUUUAGUUUACAGUUGGUACUGUAGUCAGAUUGCAAAUUUGAUCAGGUUAACUGAAUUAGGGUUCGAUUCCCUCUAAAUCUU
This 84-nucleotide transfer RNA is filed under the name Clavulina sp. Its description in RNAcentral is "tRNA-Cys". It matches the Rfam family "tRNA". From Rfam's summary of the family: Transfer RNA (tRNA) molecules are approximately 80 nucleotides in length. Their secondary structure includes four short double-helical elements and three loops (D, anti-codon, and T loops). Lineage: Eukaryota; Fungi; Basidiomycota; Agaricomycetes; Cantharellales; Hydnaceae. The record is from RNAcentral.